Long non-coding RNA from Eptesicus fuscus (big brown bat), 305 nucleotides. RefSeq lists it as uncharacterized. The transcript is spliced from 3 exons. Lineage: Eukaryota; Metazoa; Chordata; Mammalia; Chiroptera; Vespertilionidae. The record is from RefSeq and is a predicted model, not a curated record.
UUGGGGAGGGUGGAGUGGCGUCCCGAGGUGGAUCGCGGGCGUUGUCCUGCUAAGGAUGUGUUGGUGAUAGGUUUAUUAAAUGCAUACGUGUGGACUAUCGUGACAAGUUAUGACUGAACUAGACAGGAGUGAAUGUACACAGAGAUCCCAGACUUGGAGCUGGAUGCAGGAACCGGUGAGACGUUGGGUCUUCCCUUUGGGGAGAUGCCAGCACCAGGGCCUUCGAGGUGCCGACACGAAAGGGAGACAGAGAUUAUUCCUCCAUGUCCUAAAUGCGGUUGAAAUUCAAUUCUAGUUGAAGUACC